Molecule: ribosomal RNA, 468 nt
Filed under: uncultured bacterium
Lineage: Bacteria
Description: partial 16S ribosomal RNA
Rfam family: Bacterial small subunit ribosomal RNA
Source: RNAcentral
GACGAACGCUGGCGGCGUGCUUAACACAUGCAAGUCGAACGGAAAGGCCCUGCUUUUGUGGGGUGCUCGAGUGGCGAACGGGUGAGUAACACGUGAGUAACCUGCCCUUGACUUUGGGAUAACUUCAGGAAACUGGGGCUAAUACCGGAUAGGAGCUCCUGCUGCAUGGUGGGGGUUGGAAAGUUUCGGCGGUAGGGGAUGGACUCGCGGCUUAUCAGCUUGUUGGUGGGGUAGUGGCUUACCAAGGCUUUGACGGGUAGCCGGCCUGAGAGGGUGACCGGCCACAAUGGGACUGAGAUACGGCGCAGACUGCAACAGGAGGCAGCAGUGGAGAAUAUUACACAAUGGUCGGGAGCCUGAUGCGGCAACGCCGCGUGCGGGAUGACGGCCUUCGGGUUGUAAACCGCUUUCGCCUGUGACGAAGCGUGAGUGACGGUAAUGGGUAAAGAAGCACCGGCUAACUACGUG